Long non-coding RNA from Rhineura floridana, 2216 nucleotides. RefSeq lists it as uncharacterized. The transcript is spliced from 3 exons. The record is from RefSeq and is a predicted model, not a curated record. Lineage: Eukaryota; Metazoa; Chordata; Lepidosauria; Squamata; Rhineuridae.
AGCUCAUUAUAACUUGUUAGAAAUUGGUAUGCAUGUGCUGGUGUGUGUAUGCACGGAGGAGAGAGAUGGACUAUUAUUUCUCGUUUGGAUGAAUUUCUGCUCACUCUUACGUUAGCCAAAGCUGGCUUUCAAGGAGUAGGAGAGAGGUUGCUGUAUGAAAAAGGAAAGCCCCUCCCUCUGAAUUAGUUGUAUCUGGCUUGGUGAUCCCCUUUUGACUGCAGAGUUAAUAACAGCCAGGUGCAACCAAUAAAAGGCUCCUUGCCUGAGCUCUUGGAGCUAGCAUGAGAACAGAGCUUGGUUUUCUAAAAGUUGCUGCAGCUUACACAUGUCGGUUCACUGUUGACGAGCAUUGCUGCAGAGAUAACGAUGUAUGAGACAAAAGAAGUCAGAAGAAGGUCCCUCACAGGAGCUUUGAAAGAUGUACUUCUCGUUCUCCCACUCAGUCCUUCCAGGGAGGUUACAUGAUGUCCUAUCAAGCAAUUGUUAUCCAACACCUUCCAGUGAAUUUUUCCAUCACUUUCCUUACUGCAAAAAGACCAUUUUUGUUUUUGUGCAGGAGCACCACAUCUUGAAUUGUGCAACCCAAGUUUGAUGGUAUGAGACCGAAUCCAUCUACAAAACAAUGACAAUCUGGAAGUGGCUCCAGUCCUUUUCUUGCUACUACAUUUUGCCAUUGCAACUUCUAUUUGUAAUAACUGUUUUACAGGUGUUCUCUUGCAAAACCUCUUAGGUUGAACAGAUUUACAAGGAUUUCUGGCAAAUGCCACUCAUUGUUGGUUUGAUCUUGCAUGCCAGCUCUUGUAAUCUCAUCCUAUUUGUAAAUCCCAUUAUUGAGAAAGGAAAAGUCAAUAGGGGAAGGGGGAUUAGAGGAAGUCAGAAGACAGGUCUACCCUUGUGUUGGCAGCUGACUCCCAGUGGGGUAGAGUGGAAUUUUGUUCUGGUUAUCUUGAUUGAUUUGGCUGUAAAAAGAUGUCUCCCUCCUGCUUUCCAUCCCAAAUGUAAAUGCCAGCAAGCACACAAUUAUCUGAGAGCUUUACAUAAACAGAACCAAUUAGCAUUUGCUCUGCAGAUAUUUGAUUUGUACAUAUAUGUGGCCAUGAUAAUCAAGCUGGCCAAUUAGAUGUGCAAUUUGUUGUCCACUUGUAUUAAAUGUUUAUGUGCUGAAGCAUAAAGCCAGUGGACAGAGUCUUCCUUUUCCCCCUAUUUUAUUGCUCUUGCACUUGUAGAACUCUUGAUGGGAUAACAGGCCAGGAAAUGCUUCCUGCAGGCAGACCACUGGCUAAAUUGUCUCCCUCCUGGGAAUAGCUGGCAAACCCUUCCAAGCAGCCAGGCUUGUGGUCUUGUGUGUGCAUUUUCAACCAAGCAGAGCCCCUUCCAGCCUCCUUAUAUGGGUCUCUUUUUGCUUGCAAGGCCUUUUUAUUGGUCACGGGAGGAAGCCUCUUUUCCAUUCAUCAAUGCAAAAUAAAUGGAACUUAAAGGCUAAAUUGCAACACUGUGAGCAAUUUCUACAAAUUAUGCAGGAAAGACAGAUACAUUUUCCUCUAGAUUGUGUAAUUAGGAAGGUGGGGGGUGCAGAGAGAAGAUUGCAUUCCACCACAGGCAUGUUUAGACAAAAUGUGUUCCUUUGGGUUACUUUUCAGUCCUUAUUUUGCCCUAAAGGGCAUAUACAACAUCCAGAUACUUCUAAGAGACAAAUGUGGGAUGAUUACAUGUAUCAGUCUAGUGAUGAUAUACUUCUGCAUAAUUCUGCAUCCUUUAUUUGAAGGGCCACCUGGCCCAAACCCUAUUUAAAGAUCAAGAACCAUAUCAAGGGAGAGCCAAGAACUCAGAGUUGCCCAUCAACAGCACCUGGACUGCAGAGUGAGCACAGUUACCUGGUCGCAGUCUUUCCCAUAAUGAUAUAAUGUGUGCAUAGUAUACAUAGUAAACAUAUACAUAUGUGUAUAAUAUAUAGUGUAGAAAUGUAUAGUAUUUCUGUUUAAGUUACAGUAAUUAUUUCUAAAUUACAUCUAUACCUAUUAAUUAGCAUAAGCAUAUUUAUGCAAAUUGAUGUCCUCUUUUGUCCUCUUUUUUGGGGGGGCAAUGAUGCAUAAGUGGCCACCCUAAUGCAUAAGCAUUCAUUUCAAGCUCUGCACAUAUAUCUACACAAUAUUUGUGAACCAGCCUGAAACUAGUUAAAUUAUCUUGGGUUCCACCAAAAAGUUCUGAGGGUUGCA